This is a long non-coding RNA of Eriocheir sinensis (Chinese mitten crab), 2497 nucleotides long. RefSeq lists it as uncharacterized. NCBI's taxonomy places the organism in Eukaryota, Metazoa, Arthropoda, Malacostraca, Decapoda, Varunidae. The transcript has 2 exons. The record is from RefSeq and is a predicted model, not a curated record.
ACCAUCACCACCACAACCACCACCUCCAUAUUCUUCACUCUGUCUAUCCCUUCCCUUCAUCCUUCAUUCUUUCCUUCAUUUGCUCUCCACCACCACUACCACCACCACCACUACCACCGCCACCACCACCACCACCACAUAACCUUGAAAAAGUCUCAUACUCUUUAUCAGUGCAAGCCAAUCAAUCAGCAUUAGAAUCGAUAACCAUUGCAUUUAAAAGGUGAAGGUCAGACUGAAGAAUACUUGUAUCCAGGAAUGAUACGACUUAGCUUUUAAACUUGUGAUAUGUUGAUGCUUUUUCUUAAUUUCGAUGUAUAGAAGUAUCUCGCUCUUUACGCUCUACGUUCUGUACAUUCUUUUCUGCUUUAUAUUUUUUCUUUACUCUUUCUUGUCUUUGUUUGUUGUGCCGUAUAGCUAUUUCCAUUGACGUAAAGAAAAGACAGACAGAGAAACAUCACAAACCACACCAAACCAAGCGUCAAUUUUGAUAGAUAAUAGUAGAUAUAUUUGUAGUACCCUCAUGCUUACUACUACUACUACUACUACUACUACUACUACUACAAUUCGACCAUUUUAUCACACUUGAGUACAAUGGCCUAGGCAAGGUUAGGAAAGGUCAGGGAUGUACAUAAAAAUAGAGUAUUAUGACCUGAACUUCCUGUCUCUCCCCCUCUGUCUCUCAUGGUGACCUCAAACGACCUUCCUAUCACUCCUCCUCCUCCUCCUCCUCCUCCUCCCCAUGAUAGCAGACCUCCUUUAGUGCUCUUCAGACUUCUUUUCCUCAUUCUACCUUCCUUCUUGCCUCUCCAUCCCUCCCUCCAUCCCUCCCUCCCUCCGUCCCCAACACUCCAUAACCACCUGAGACGAGAUAAUGACGGCGUUUCUCUCAUCCUCACAGAGUUGCGCAUAUCACCACAGCGUUUCUCGAGUACCUACGGGCAGUUGGUUCGGUAUCAUCAGGCGUUUUCACCUCUCACAUCAACUCUUUUCAACGGCCAAAAGGGAGAUUGAUUGGGUCCUUACGAGUGUUGUUUUGGGUCCAUGGUACAGAGGAAGGGUUAAACUACCUCUAGAAAUGUCUUUAACUCCUACGAAAGUCAAAGAGGAGAUCCUAGUGAGUGGUCUUUUAGGUUCGUGGUACAGAGGAAGGGUUAGACUACCACCGGGGUCAUAGAACUAUCGCUGGAUUCUAAUGAGUGUUCUAUAAUGUUCACGGUACAGAGGAAGGGUUAGACUACCACCAGGGUCAUAGAACUAUCGCUGGAUUCUAAUGAGUGUUCUAUUAGGUUCACGGUACAGAGGAAGGGUUAGACUACCACCGGGGUCAUAGAACUAUCGCUGGAUUCUAAUGAGUGUUCUAUUAGGUUCGUGGUACAGAGGAAGGGUUAGACUACCACCAGGGUCAUAGAACUAUCGCUGGAUUCUAAUGAGUGUUCUAUUAGGUUCGUGGUACAGAGGAAGGGUUAGACUACCACCGGGGUCAUAGAACUAUCGCUGGAUUCUAAUGAGUGUUCUAUUAGGUUCGUGGUACAGAGGAAGGGUUAGACUACCACCGGGGUCAUAGAACUAUCGCUGGAUUCUAAUGAGUGUUCUAUUAGGUUCGUGGUACAGAGGAAGGGUUAGACUACCACCAGGGUCAUAGAACUAUCGCUGGAUUCUAAUGAGUGUUCUAUUAGGUUCGUGGUACAGAGGAAGGGUUAGACUACCACCGGGGUCAUAGAACUAUCGCUGGAUUCUAAUGAGUGUUCUAUUAGGUUCGUGGUACAGAGGAAGGGUUAGACUACCACCGGGGUCAUAGAACUAUCGCUGGAUUCUAAUGAGUGUUCUAUUAGGUUCGUGGUACAGAGGAAGGGUCACACUACCACCAGGCUCAUAAAGCUACCGCUGUGCCCAGAACUCCUACGAAAGCACAAAAAAAGGAGAUUAAUCGAUUAAUGGAUUAAUGGAGGAAGGGAGAAAGGAAGGAAGGGAAGAAGGAUGGAGGGGAAGAGGGGCGAAACAGACAAAAAUAAAGAAACAAAAACACGAAACAGACAAAAAUAAAGAAAAAAACACGAAACAGACAAAAAUAAAGAAAAAAAACACGAAACAGACAAAAAUAAAGAAAAAAAACACGAAACAGACAAAAAUAAAGAAAAAAAACACGAAACAGACAAAAUAAAGAAAAAAACACGAAACAGACAAAAAUAAAGAAAAAAAACACGAAACAGACAAAAAUAAAGAAAAAAAACACGAAACAGACAAAAAUAAAGAAAAAAAACACGAAACAGACAAAAAUAAAGAAAAAAAACACGAAACAGACAAAAAUAAAGAAAAAAAACACGAAACAGACAAAAAUAAAGAAAAAAAAACACGAAACAGACAAAAAUAAAGAAAAAAAACACGAAACAGACAAAAAUAAAGAAAAAAAACACGAAACAGACAAAAAUAAAGAAAAAAAACACGAAACAGACAAAAAUAAAGAAAAAAAACACGAAACAGACAAAAAUAAAGAAAA